This 468-nucleotide ribosomal RNA is filed under the name uncultured bacterium. RNAcentral describes it as "bacterial SSU rRNA". It matches the Rfam family "Bacterial small subunit ribosomal RNA", at positions 62 to 543 of the family's 1533-position model. The record is from RNAcentral.
UUUAGCGGAAGUUUUCGGAUGGAAGUUAGAUUGACUGAGUGGCGGACGGGUGAGUAACGCGUGGGUAACCUGCCUCACACUGGGGGACAACAGUUAGAAAUGACUGAUAAUACCGCAUAAGCGCACAGGACCGCAUGGUCCGGUGUGAAAAACUCCGGUGGUGUGAGAUGGACCCGCGUUUGAUUAGCUAGUUGGUGGGGUAACGGCCUACCAAGGCGACGAUCAAUAGCCGACCUGAGAGGGUGACCGGCCACAUUGGGACUGAGACACGGCCCAAACUCCUACGGGAGGCAGCAGUGGGGAAUAUUGCACAAUGGGGGAAACCCUGAUGCAGCGACGCCGCGUGAGUGAAGAAGUAUUUCGGUAUGUAAAGCUCUAUCAGCAGGGAAGAAAAUGACGGUACCUGACUAAGAAGCCCCGGCUAACUACGUGCCAGCAGCCGCGGUAAUACGUAGGGGGCAAGCGUUA